This 89-nucleotide unclassified non-coding RNA is filed under the name Pseudomonas yamanorum. The record is from RNAcentral. Lineage: Bacteria; Pseudomonadati; Pseudomonadota; Gammaproteobacteria; Pseudomonadales; Pseudomonadaceae.
UGUGGGAGCUGGCUUGCCUGCGAUGGCGGUCGUUCAGUGUCAGGUGUGUUGGCUGACACACCGCUAUCGCAGGCAAGCCAGCUCCCACC